This is a long non-coding RNA of Salvia miltiorrhiza (redroot sage), 255 nucleotides long. RefSeq lists it as uncharacterized. The record is from RefSeq and is a predicted model, not a curated record. NCBI's taxonomy places the organism in Eukaryota, Viridiplantae, Streptophyta, Magnoliopsida, Lamiales, Lamiaceae. The transcript is spliced from 2 exons.
UGAUAUGGGCACUAGGAAGUUGUUCAAACUCUUAUUCUAUUAAAAUCCAAUAUUCAAGCUAGUUGGAUGGUUGAUUUGUUGGACGAUUGGUGGUGAAUAAAGGCGUAAUUAGUUGGAGAUUGUAUUAGAGGUUUUUUUUAGAAGAUAAAUGAUGGUGUAAUUCGAGAAGAUACAAUUAUUGAUGUAAUGGAUUUUGAUGAAAUAUCAAACAAUGUUUGAUAUUAUGGCAUUAAUCUAGAAUUUAUUAGUGGUUUA